Molecule: ribosomal RNA, 402 nt
Filed under: Streptomyces sp. MBT46
Lineage: Bacteria; Bacillati; Actinomycetota; Actinomycetes; Kitasatosporales; Streptomycetaceae
Description: bacterial SSU rRNA
Rfam family: Bacterial small subunit ribosomal RNA
Source: RNAcentral
GCGACGGGUGAGUAACCGUGGGCAAUCUGCCCUUCACUCUGGGACAAGCCCUGGAAACGGGGUCUAAUACCGGAUAACACCGGCUUCCGCAUGGGAGCUGGUUGAAAGCUCCGGCGGUGAAGGAUGAGCCCGCGGCCUAUCAGCUUGUUGGUGGGGUAAUGGCCUACCAAGGCGACGACGGGUAGCCGGCCUGAGAGGGCGACCGGCCACACUGGGACUGAGACACGGCCCAGACUCCUACGGGAGGCAGCAGUGGGGAAUAUUGCACAAUGGGCGAAAGCCUGAUGCAGCGACGCCGCGUGAGGGAUGACGGCCUUCGGGUUGUAAACCUCUUUCAGCAGGGAAGAAGCGAAAGUGACGGUACCUGCAGAAGAAGCGCCGGCUAACUACGUGCCAGCAGCC